RNAcentral lists this ribosomal RNA (501 nucleotides) under uncultured bacterium. RNAcentral describes it as "partial 16S ribosomal RNA". It matches the Rfam family "Bacterial small subunit ribosomal RNA", at positions 30 to 523 of the family's 1533-position model. The record is from RNAcentral.
AUUGAACGCUGGCGGCAUGCUUUACACAUGCAAGUCGAACGGCAGCGCGGGGGCAACCCUGGCGGCGAGUGGCGAACGGGUGAGUAAUGCAUCGGAACGUAGCCUGUAAUGGGGGAUAACUAAUCGAAAGAUUAGCUAAUACCGCAUACGCUCGGGAGAGGAAAGUGGGGGAUCGCAAGACCUCACGUUAUAGGAGCGGCCGAUGUCUGAUUAGCUAGUUGGUGAGGUAAAGGCUCACCAAGGCGACGAUCAGUAGCUGGUCUUAGAGGAUGAUCAGCCACACUGGGACUGAGACACGGCCCAGACUCCUACGGGAGGCAGCAGUGGGGAAUUUUGGACAAUGGGGGCAACCCUGAUCCAGCCAUGCCGCGUGCGGGAAGAAGGCCUUCGGGUUGUAAACCGCUUUAGUCUAGGAAAAAGGAAUGCAGGAUUAAUACCCUUGUGCUUUGAUGGUACUGGAAGAAUAAGCACCGGCUAACUACGUGCCAGCAGCCGCCGUAA